This 253-nucleotide ribosomal RNA is filed under the name uncultured bacterium. Its description in RNAcentral is "partial 16S ribosomal RNA". It matches the Rfam family "Bacterial small subunit ribosomal RNA", at positions 524 to 776 of the family's 1533-position model. The record is from RNAcentral.
UACGUAGGGUGCGAGCGUUAAUCGGAAUUACUGGGCGUAAAGCGUGCGCAGGCGGUUCGUUAAGUCAGAUGUGAAAGCCCCGGGCUCAACCUGGGAACUGCAUUUGAAACUGGCGGGCUUGAGUAUGGCAGAGGGGGGUGGAAUUCCGCGUGUAGCAGUGAAAUGCGUAGAGAUGCGGAGGAACACCGAUGGCGAAGGCAGCCCCCUGGGCCAAAACUGACGCUCAGGCACGAAAGCGUGGGGAGCAAACAGG